RNAcentral lists this long non-coding RNA (1143 nucleotides) under Meriones unguiculatus (Mongolian gerbil). RNAcentral describes it as "lncRNA (ENSMUGG00000012687.1)". Lineage: Eukaryota; Metazoa; Chordata; Mammalia; Rodentia; Muridae. The record is from RNAcentral.
CUUGUCCCUGGGGGAGGUCUGCACCCCCGGAGGGAGGAGGAGGGCCAGGGCUAGGGCCGCUGCGGCGGGUGGCGGACGCCGCCGGCCCUUCCCCCGCGCUCCUUCGCUGCCUCCCCCUGCUCCCCGCCCCUCCUCCUCUCCAUCCUCCCUAUCCUCCUCCGGGUCCCCGGCAGCCGCAGCUAGGGGAGCAGCCGGCGGCACCCGGGCUUCUCAGCCUUUGUCUCGGGCCGCGGGGCGCGCCGGGCCCAGCGCAGCAGGCCACGCGGGGACGGCGGAGGCUGCGAGGACUGGCAGUCAUGGAAAAACGGGAAAGGAGCCGGCCCGGCGUCACCACCGUCACCACCAUCACCAUCACCACCAUCACCGACCGUCGCCCAUCCCACACCCCGCCUCAUCUCCAUCUCAUCUCCCCGUGCCCUGCCAACUUUGUCAGACCAUUUCCUUUGCAUCGGGUAACACUUGGACAGAAAGAUCGCGAGUGAGCGCGACGUUCUGGGACGUUCAUCUAACGGGUCCCUGGGCCGCCUCGGUUUUCCCAUCAGGGAAAGGGGCCUGUGGCGGCUCCUUCCGCAUAGCCGCUGAGGUGGCUGGUUGUCUGGCUGUUCAAUCCUGGUGCUAGAAGGGACAGAGAGACAUGUCAAUUGUUUACGAUGACAGUGACACCAGAGUAGUUUCUUCAUCAAACCAGAGGUUUGGAGUUUGAGACUUCAUCUCUUUUCUUUUAAGCGUCGAAAUAUUAAUAGCAAAUGAAAACGUAGAGAAAUGAAACUUUGAACUAUUCCGAAAAAGAAGCAAAAGCAGGUAUUUUUGUAGGAAAAUCACUUCAGUAUGCUAAGAGCAGUUCCCUUUGUGUGGAGUGGACAGUGUCCUUUUAAAAGUGCUGUCUUUCUGGUGAAGCUCAUUAUUUUGCACGCAUACCAUGUACCCUCGGGAGCUUUCCACCCCACCUGAGGAGUGUCUUAAUUACAGCUCAGCACAGAACAGUGAGAACAAACACAUGUUCCUAGAAUAGGCCUGGGCAUCUGCCUCCUUUUGAAAAGAUAGUAAGAUCCUAAGUCCAUUCUUUAUUUCCCCUAUUGUUGCUGGAAAUUUGGGGGAACCCUGCGUUGGUUGCCACGUUUCCAGGGUCAAGGUCAACAGGAG